AUUGAACGCUAGCGGGAUGCCUUACACAUGCAAGUCGAACGGAGUGGCGAACGGGUGAGUAAUGUAUCGGAACGUGCCCAGUAGCGGGGGAUAACUACGCGAAAGCGUAGCUAAUACCGCAUACUAUUGGAGCGGCCGAUAUCGGAUUGGCUAGUUGGGGGGGUAACGGCUCACCUAGGCGACGAUCCUUAGCUGGUUUGAGAGGACGACCAGCCACACUGGGACUGAGACACGGCCCAGACUCCUACGGGAGGCAGCAGUGGGGAAUUUUGGGCAAUGGGGGAAACCCUGAUCCAGACAUCCCGCGUGUGCGAGGAAGGCUUUCGGGUGGUAAAGCACGUUUGUCAGGAAAGCGGUACCUACAGAGUAAGCACCGGCUAACUACGUGCCAGCAGCCGCGGUAAUUC
This 407-nucleotide ribosomal RNA is filed under the name uncultured bacterium. RNAcentral describes it as "partial 16S ribosomal RNA". It matches the Rfam family "Bacterial small subunit ribosomal RNA", at positions 30 to 526 of the family's 1533-position model. The record is from RNAcentral.